AAUAUAAAAAUAAUUAAAAAAAAAACUCAUAAAUAUUCAUUAGGAAUAGCGUGCCAAAACUUUAAGGAAACAAAAUAAAAAAAAAACAGAAUUCAAAAUCACUCAAUGAAAUUAUUAUAUUGGAGCAAAGCAAAUUUAGCUCAAAGCGCAUUAGAACAUGUGUAUAAUUUAAUUAUUGUCUGCACGGCAGCCACGAAAUAAAAACAAAAAAAAAGCGGAGUUGUAUGAGUGAAUGUAUCUAAAGACGUCACGGAAAUGAAUUUACACUAUAGCCGGGUGGUGGCAGAAGACGAGGAGUGUGGGUUGAAAACGGAAAUUCUCUUAAAAAGAUAUUGUAGGUGGAGUUUUAUAACCCACUAGAUACCAGAUACUAUAUCCCACCUACAUUUCACCUGGCUGAGUUUAUUGAAAAGAAGUUUUCGAGCUACAAGUGGAUGGAUGGAUGCUGUUGCAGAUGCGAAAAUGAUUUUAAGAGGAAAAAAAAUGGAAUAAAAAUCAUGUUUUUUUUUUAUUUUAACUGUUGUCAUUAAUGAUGUUCGGUGUUAAAGUUUAAUGACA
Episyrphus balteatus (marmalade hoverfly) is the source of this 558-nucleotide long non-coding RNA. RefSeq lists it as uncharacterized. The record is from RefSeq and is a predicted model, not a curated record. The transcript is spliced from 3 exons. Lineage: Eukaryota; Metazoa; Arthropoda; Insecta; Diptera; Syrphidae.